GAAACCCUGACUAUGGUGGAAGCUUCAAGCUUUAACAAGUGUUACUGCUAAAUUCAAGAAUCCUUAUAGGAGAAAGGAUGAAGGAAGAAAUGUAAGGCUUGCUGUUCAAGUUAUCCUGAAAUAUUGAAUCUGAAUGAAAGGUGUCAGUGUUGGAGGCUCAAGACACAGGCCCUGAAAAUGAAAUUACGCUUACUUUAUUUAUUAAUGGUGCAUUGUUGAAAGCAGCUGAAAGCCACAGGCCCUACUGGUGAGGAGUCAAUUGUUCAUGCAGCUCAGGUGCCUUGUAGGGGAUGCAGAAUUCCACGCUUUCAAGCUGGCAGUUCUCUCAUGUUUUCUGGUUUCCUGUGUCGUAGAAGAGGCUCCGCAGCAUGCACAACUACUCACUUUCUGGAGCAAUGUCAAGCAGAGAAGACCUUGUCUGUUCUGCCCUGAUGCAAGGACAGACAGGAGCUGCACGCUGCCUGAGUCCAUUAGCUGGUCAGAGUGCAUGCAGGAGACGAGCAGACACUACUCCCAAGGUCCCAGUGGCAACUUUGAAUUUCGAGCAUGCCUGGGACUGCUGGGCAAAAAAUAA
This 574-nucleotide long non-coding RNA is filed under the name Anser brachyrhynchus (Pink-footed goose). RNAcentral's name for it is "lncRNA (ENSABRG00000013900.1)". The record is from RNAcentral. Lineage: Eukaryota; Metazoa; Chordata; Aves; Anseriformes; Anatidae.